RNAcentral lists this long non-coding RNA (2894 nucleotides) under Mus musculus (house mouse). RNAcentral's name for it is "predicted gene 29221". The record is from RNAcentral. Lineage: Eukaryota; Metazoa; Chordata; Mammalia; Rodentia; Muridae.
ACUCACCUCUGGAACUUGCAAUUUCUGCCCAACUUAGUUCCUCACUUUCUUCCCUAAGCCUUUUGGAUCUUCCCUUUCCACAGAAGAGCCUUUAGACCUCUCUAAACCUACAGAGGGACCUUUAACUUCAUUCCAGGGACCAAAUGAGUCUUUGAAUUCUCUACAAGGGGUUCAACAAACAGAUCCAUCUACUUCAGAUCCUUCAGGAUCUAUGCAUUCUUCCAAAGGACCCAUGGUAAUUUCUUUAUCUGAUCGAGGAACACUAGGAUCUAUAUCAUCUGCCCUAGAGCCUUUGACAUUGUCCCUAUCUGCUCAAGGGAAUCCAGGACAUUUGUUAUCUGUUCAAGAAGCUGGAGGCCCUUGGCUGUCUUUAUAGGGGAACCUGGAAGGUUGUACCUGUACACAUGGCAAUCCAGGAAUAUCCAAUGCUUCAUCACGAGCUUUGGAAAUUUCAGCAUCUACCAUAGUGAGUCCAGGACCUUCUCCAUCUGUCCAAUUGGAUUUGAAAGAGUAACAUUCUGUCUUAAUGUCUUGGAGACCUUCCAUGUCUGCCCAAGGUGUACUAGAAACAUCAAUAUCUUCCCAAGGGCUUACAGAAACUUCCUUGUUACCUCAAGAGCCUCCAGGACACUGGUUGGAAAAGGAGGCUUUAGGAUAUUUACCAUCCAAUCCUGAAGAUCUUGGACUUUCUGAUUCUUCCCAGGACACACUAGAAAUAUGGGCAUGUAUGCAAAAUAGUACAGAAAUACCAUCUUUCACCCAAGAGGUCAUAGAAUCUUUGUCAGCCACACAAGAUUCUCCCAAAUUACCAGUUCCUUCACCACUUAGUCCAGAGACAGAAGAACCUCUGACAUAUACACAAUCCAUUUCUAAGAGUUCAAAAUCUGUGCCAGGGACUCCAGAAGCUUUGGCAUCUGUGUUAGGGUCUCUGUGUCUUUUGAAACCCAAUGAAGGUGCUCUGGGCCCUUUAGUAUCUGAACAAGGGAUCCUGAGAACACCAGCAUUUCCCCAGGAAAGUCUAGAACUUUCUCAACCUGCCCAGGGGCCUCUAAAACCUGUGACAUCUCACCAAGAAACCGAGGAUACUUCCUUUUCAACAGAGUUUCAGGGACUGUCCCUUUGUGCAGAAGGGGACAUUAUGCCUACCCCUCCUCAUGAAGAUGGAUGGAGAAAUUUCUCUUAUCUCAAAAAGAACCCUAGACGUUUGAAAUCUAACCAAAGGAUAUUGAAACAUGUCCCAAUUCCUGAAAGGGAUAUCAGAUACUGCCUUUCAGAACUUGAUGCCUUAAAAUGUAUCUCUUCUGCCGUAAGUAGCCUCACAUCUUCCAAGUAUGCAGAAAAGGAAUCCAGUCCUACCUCUACUCCUCAAAGGAGCAUCUCCCCCUUAAAAUCAUCUCAAUUGAGUUUCAGAUCUAGUAUUCUUUGUAAAAAAGGUCUCAGUCAUUCUCCUCCUCCAGGAGAUUGCCCCACACCUUCUAAAUUGAGGAAAACAAGACCAAGCCCUUCCUCUGUAGAUCAAGAGGGCCUGAAAUAUGUGCGCUCAAAACAUGCGGGUUGGAAACACUGCCAUUCUUCCAAAAUUUGGGUAAGAGUUUGCAAAUUUAAGAAAGAGUUGUAAAGCUUAAAACUAUGACUAACAAACUUUGCCACAUCUGAUUCUGCUAAAGGAGCCUGCAGAUGCUCACCAUCUCAUGAGGUGGGCCUCAGAAGUCCCCUACCAAGCCAAGGCAUUCACAGACCAUCUAAGUAUACUGAAACCCCAUCAGAAAAAGCCCCUUCAGACCAAUGGGACACCAAAGCUUCCAAUUCAGAGCAUAAGGUUGACAAGCCAUCCUCCAUCCUUACAGAAGAAUGCAUGCGAACCACUCUUUCUCAUGAAGACAGCCUCAGGCAUCCCACCUUCCUCAUGAGAUUCCCAGACACGCUACUUCUACCAAGAGAAAACAGAGGAAAGCCUCUGUUACCCAAAAAGCCCUGCAAGCUUCCCCUACAGAUCAAGAAUGCAUUGAUUCAUUUCCAGAUGGAGACAGUCCCCAUAGAGGUGUGCAACACUCAUCAUCACCCCAAGAGGAUAUCAGCCAUUCUUUUUCUACUAAGGAGGACUCAAAACAUAUUCCUAAUGUCCAAGAGGGAGAGAAAACUUCCAGAAUUGCCAAACGGGAGCCCAUAGCUUUUGUGCCUAUCCUAUGGGCAUUCAUACCACCAAAAGGGAGUACCACAUUCCCUUUUGGAACAUUCCCUGUUAUGCGAAGAUAUGACAAACAUACAAUAUCUCAAGCAGAGGAUGUGGUACCUGCUCUCUCCUGUCCUCGGAGAGACCCAUCAUUACAAUAUAAAUUUGGGUUCCCCCUUUGUGACCAUUCUGUCCUAGGAGGCCACAAAUAUACACAUCAUUUGAAAAUCAAUCUCAACAGAAUCGCACUGCAAAAGGGGAGUUGUAGUUCUUUCCUCUUCCCUAAAGGAGGUGUCGGACCUUCUCAAUCAGACCAAUGUGGACUCAGACUUUCCAGUUCUCACCAAAGGGACUCUGGCUUUGUGAUCCCUGUUUCAGAAAGGCUCAGAAUGCUUCAGGCUGAAAUAGGUGGCCCCUCAAAUGCUCCAUCUAAGAAACUGGGCCUCACCGGUGCUUUUUAUGACAAAAGAGAUAUAGAAAAUGUUCUAGGAGGCUUACGACUUACUCCUUGCUUCUGACUUCCUCCUUCUGCCCAGGGACACACCAGAGCUUCCCAGCCUGCCAAACGGAACCUGUAAGGCAGUCCAUCUCAAGAGGGUGGCCUGGGCCCUACUCUCUCUUACUCUGGCAUUUUCAGUUCUUUUUUGAUACAGAAGCUGCCCUCAUAUUUUCCCUUUCUAUGCCCCUUAUGAACAACAUGAAUUUAGAACUUUUUCUUUUC